AGAGUUUGAUCAUGGCUCAGAACGUACGCUGGCGGCACGCCUAACACAUGCAAGUCGAACGAAGUAGCAAUACUUAGUGGCAGACGGGUGAGUAACAUGUAGGUAUCUGCCCUUUGGCCUGGAAUAACACGAGGAAACUUGUGCUAAUACCGGAUAAGUCUUUACGGAGAAAGCUUUAUGCACCAUUGGAUGAGCCUGCACUUGAUUAGUUUGUUGGUGGGGUAAUGGCCUACCAAGACUGUGAUCAAUAGCUGAUUUGAGAGGAUGAUCAGCCACAUUGGGACUGAGACACGGCCCAAACUCCUACGGGAGGCAGCAGUGGGGAAUCUUGCACAAUGGAGGAAACUCUGAUGCAGCGAUGCCGCGUGAGUGAAGAAGGCCUUUGGGUUGUAAAGCUCUUUCGUCGGGGAAGAAAAUGACUGUACCCGAAUAAGAAGGUCCGGCUAACUUCGUGCCAGCAGCCGCGGUAAUACGAAGGGACCUAGCGUAGUUCGGAAUUACUGGGCUUAAAGAGUUCGUAGGUGGUUGAAAAAGUUAGUGGUGAAAUCCCAGAGCUUAACUCUGGAACUGCCAUUAAAACUUUUCAGCUAGAGUAUGAUAGAGGAAAGCAGAAUUUCUAGUGUAGAGGUGAAAUUCGUAGAUAUUAGAAAGAAUACCAAUUGCGAAGGCAGCUUUCUGGAUCAUUACUGACACUGAGGAACGAAAGCAUGGGUAGCGAAGAGGAUUAGAUACCCUCGUAGUCCAUGCCGUAAACGAUGUGUGUUAGACGUUGGAAAUUUAUUUUCAGUGUCGCAGCGAAAGCGAUAAACACACCGCCUGGGGAGUACGACCGCAAGGUUAAAACUCAAAUGAAUUGACGGGGACCCGCACAAGUAGUGGAGCAUGUGGUUUAAUUCGAAGAUACGCGCAGAACCUUACCAACACUUGACAUGUUCGUCGCGACUUUAAGAGAUUAAAGUUUUCGGUUCGGCCGGACGAAACACAGGUGCUGCAUGGCUGUCGUCAGCUCGUGUCGUGAGAUGUUGGGUUAAGUCCCGCAACGAGCGCAACCCUCACUUUUAGUUGCCAUCAUUAAGUUGGGCACUCUGAAAGAACUGCCAGUGAUAAGCUGGAGGAAGGUGGGGAUGACGUCAAGUCCUCAUGGCCCUUACGUGUUGGGCUACACACGUGCUACAAUGGUAUCUACAACAGGAAGCAAGACUGCGAGGUCAAGCAAAUCCUUAAAAGAUACCUCAGUUCGGAUUGCACUCUGCAACUCGAGUGCAUGAAGCUGGAAUUACUAGUAAUCGUGGAUCAGCGUGCCACGGUGAAUGCGUUCCCGGGUCUUGUACACACCGCCCGUCACACCAUGGGAGUUGGUUCUACCUUAAGGCAAGGUUUUAAACCCUUGACCACGGUAUAGUCAGCGACUGGGGUGAAGUCGUAACAAGGUAA
Molecule: ribosomal RNA, 1434 nt
Filed under: uncultured Alphaproteobacteria bacterium
Lineage: Bacteria; Pseudomonadati; Pseudomonadota; Alphaproteobacteria
Description: bacterial SSU rRNA
Rfam family: Bacterial small subunit ribosomal RNA
Source: RNAcentral